GAUGAACGCUGGCGGCGUGCCUAAUACAUGCAAGUCGAGCGAACGGACGAGAAGCUUGCUUCUCUGAUGUUAGCGGCGGACGGGUGAGUAACACGUGGAUAACCUACCUAUAAGACUGGGAUAACUUCGGGAAACCGUAGCUAAUACCGGAUAAUAUUUUGAACCGCAUGGUUCAAAAGUGAAAGACGGUCUUGCUGUCACUUAUAGAUGGAUCCGCGCUGCAUUAGCUAGUUGGUAAGGUAACGGCUUACCAAGGCAACGAUGCAUAGCCGACCUGAGAGGGUGAUCGGCCACACUGGAACUGAGACACGGUCCAGACUCCUACGGGAGGCAGCAGUAGGGAAUCUUCCGCAAUGGGCGAAAGCCUCACGGAGCAACGCCGCGUGAGUGAUGAAGGUCUUCGGAUCGUAAAACUCUGUUAUUAGGGAAGAACAUAUGUGUAAGUAACUGUGCACAUCUUGACGGUACCUAAUCAGAAAGCCACGGCUAACUACGUG
This 497-nucleotide ribosomal RNA is filed under the name uncultured bacterium. RNAcentral's name for it is "partial 16S ribosomal RNA". It matches the Rfam family "Bacterial small subunit ribosomal RNA", at positions 28 to 507 of the family's 1533-position model. The record is from RNAcentral.